Long non-coding RNA from Oryzias melastigma (Indian medaka), 109 nucleotides. RefSeq lists it as uncharacterized. The record is from RefSeq and is a predicted model, not a curated record. NCBI's taxonomy places the organism in Eukaryota, Metazoa, Chordata, Actinopteri, Beloniformes, Adrianichthyidae. The transcript is spliced from 3 exons.
UCAGAUGGGAAAGGUGACGAUAACCACAGAGAGCUGUUCAGCCUCCUAACACAACUAUUUGGUCCUUAUCCGAGCUUGUUGGAGAAGAUAGAACAGGAGACCUGGAGAG